AACAGGAGCAUGACAAAUCAGAUUUUUUCUCUUGAUUUUUAGUUUUUUCUUCAUGUAAAAUUCAAAUCCAACUAGAAAUAUUAAAAAUCAAGAAGAAAAAUCUGAUUUAUUACGAUCUUAUU
This 122-nucleotide microRNA precursor is filed under the name Gossypium hirsutum (cotton). RNAcentral's name for it is "MIR7504 microRNA precursor family". It matches the Rfam family "MIR7504 microRNA precursor family". The record is from Rfam by way of RNAcentral. Lineage: Eukaryota; Viridiplantae; Streptophyta; Magnoliopsida; Malvales; Malvaceae.